UCAAGUGAAUAAGUGCAUCAGGCGGAUGCCUUGGCGAUGAUAGGCGACGAAGGACGUGUAAGCCUGCGAAAAGCGCGGGGAGCUGGCAAUAAAGCUAUGAUUCCGCGAUGUCCGAAUGGGAAACCCACUGCAUUCUGUGCAGUAUCCUAAGUUGAAUACAUAGGCUUAGAGAAGCGAACCCGGAGAACUGAACCAUCUAAGUACCCGGAGGAAAAGAAAUCAACCGAGAUUCCGCAAGUAGUGGCGAGCGAACGCGGAGGAGCCUGUACGUAAUAACUGUCGAGAUAGAAGAACAAGCUGGGAAGCUUGACCAUAGCGGGUGACAGUCCCGUAUUCGAAAUCUCAACAGCGGUACUAAGCGUACGAAAAGUAGGGCGGGACACGUGAAAUCCUGUCUGAAUAUGGGGGGACCAUCCUCCAAGGCUAAAUACUCAUCAUCGACCGAUAGUGAACCAGUACCGUGAGGGAAAGGCGAAAAGAACCCCGGGAGGGGAGUGAAACAGAACCUGAAACCUGAUGCAUACAAACAGUGGGAGCGCCCUAGUGGUGUGACUGCGUACCUUUUGUAUAAUGGGUCAACGACUUACAUUCAGUAGCGAGCUUAACCGGAUAGGGGAGGCGUAGGGAAACCGAGUCUUAAUAGGGCGAUGAGUUGCUGGGUGUAGACCCGAAACCGAGUGAUCUAUCCAUGGUCAGGUUGAAGGUGCCGUAACAGGUACUGGAGGACCGAACCCACGCAUGUUGCAAAAUGCGGGGAUGAGCUGUGGGUAGGGGUGAAAGGCUAAACAAACUCGGAGAUAGCUGGUUCUCCCCGAAAACUAUUUAGGUAGUGCCUCGAGCAAGACACUGAUGGGGGUAAAGCACUGUUAUGGCUAGGGGGUUAUUGCAACUUACCAACCCAUGGCAAACUCAGAAUACCAUCAAGUGGUUCCUCGGGAGACAGACAGCGGGUGCUAACGUCCGUUGUCAAGAGGGAAACAACCCAGACCGCCGGCUAAGGUCCCAAAUGAUAGAUUAAGUGGUAAACGAAGUGGGAAGGCACAGACAGCCAGGAUGUUGGCUUAGAAGCAGCCAUCAUUUAAAGAAAGCGUAAUAGCUCACUGGUCGAGUCGUCCUGCGCGGAAGAUGUAACGGGCUCAAAUCUAUAACCGAAGCUGCGGAUGCCGGUUUACCGGCAUGGUAGGGGAGCGUUCUGUAGGCUGAUGAAGGUGCAUUGUAAAGUGUGCUGGAGGUAUCAGAAGUGCGAAUGUUGACAUGAGUAGCGAUAAAGCGGGUGAAAAGCCCGCUCGCCGAAAGCCCAAGGUUUCCUACGCAACGUUCAUCGGCGUAGGGUAAGUCGGCCCUAAGGCGAGGCAGAAAUGCGUAGUCGAUGGGAAACAGGUUAAUAUUCCUGUACUUGAUUCAAAUGCGAUGUGGGACGGAGAAGGUUAGGUUGGCAAGCUGUUGGAAUAGCUUGUUUAAGCCGGUAGGUGGAAGACUUAGGCAAAUCCGGGUUUUCUUAACACCGAGAAGUGAUGACGAGUGUCUACGGACACGAAGCAACCGAUACCACGCUUCCAGGAAAAGCCACUAAGCUUCAGUUUGAAUCGAACCGUACCGCAAACCGACACAGGUGGGCAGGAUGAGAAUUCUAAGGCGCUUGAGAGAACUCGGGAGAAGGAACUCGGCAAAUUGAUACCGUAACUUCGGGAGAAGGUAUGCCCUCUAAGGUUAAGGACUUGCUCCGUAAGCCCCGGAGGGUCGCAGAGAAUAGGUGGCUGCGACUGUUUAUUAAAAACACAGCACUCUGCCAACACGAAAGUGGACGUAUAGGGUGUGACGCCUGCCCGGUGCCGGAAGGUUAAUUGAAGAUGUGCAAGCAUCGGAUCGAAGCCCCGGUAAACGGCGGCCGUAACUAUAACGGUCCUAAGGUAGCGAAAUUCCUUGUCGGGUAAGUUCCGACCCGCACGAAUGGCGUAACGAUGGCCACACUGUCUCCUCCCGAGACUCAGCGAAGUUGAAGUGGUUGUGAAGAUGCAAUCUACCCGCUGCUAGACGGAAAGACCCCGUGAACCUUUACUGUAGCUUUGCAUUGGACUUUGAAGUCACUUGUGUAGGAUAGGUGGGAGGCUUGGAAGCAGAGACGCCAGUCUCUGUGGAGUCGUCCUUGAAAUACCACCCUGGUGUCUUUGAGGUUCUAACCCAGACCCGUCAUCCGGGUCGGGGACCGUGCAUGGUAGGCAGUUUGACUGGGGCGGUCUCCUCCCAAAGCGUAACGGAGGAGUUCGAAGGUUACCUAGGUCCGGUCGGAAAUCGGACUGAUAGUGCAAUGGCAAAAGGUAGCUUAACUGCGAGACCGACAAGUCGGGCAGGUGCGAAAGCAGGACAUAGUGAUCCGGUGGUUCUGUAUGGAAGGGCCAUCGCUCAACGGAUAAAAGGUACUCCGGGAUAACAGGCUGAUUCCGCCCAAGAGUUCAUAUCGACGGCGGAGUUUGGCACCUCGAUGUCGGCUCAUCACAUCCUGGGCUGUAGUCGGUCCCAAGGGUAUGGCUGUUCGCCAUUUAAAGUGGUACGUGAGCUGGGUUUAAAACGUCGUGAGACAGUUUGGUCCCUAUCUGCAGUGGGCGUUGGAAGUUUGACGGGGGCUGCUCCUAGUACGAGAGGACCGGAGUGGACGAACCUCUGGUGUACCGGUUGUAACGCCAGUUGCAUAGCCGGGUAGCUAAGUUCGGAAGAGAUAAGCGCUGAAAGCAUCUAAGCGCGAAACUCGCCUGAAGAUGAGACUUCCCUUGCGGUUUAACCGCACUAAAGGGUCGUUCGAGACCAGGACGUUGAUAGGUGGGGUGUGGAAGCGCGGUAACGCGUGAAGCUAACCCAUACUAAUUGCCCGUGAGGCUUGACUC
Molecule: ribosomal RNA, 2882 nt
Filed under: Neisseria gonorrhoeae
Lineage: Bacteria; Pseudomonadati; Pseudomonadota; Betaproteobacteria; Neisseriales; Neisseriaceae
Description: 23S ribosomal RNA
Rfam family: Bacterial large subunit ribosomal RNA
Source: RNAcentral